RNAcentral lists this ribosomal RNA (292 nucleotides) under uncultured bacterium. RNAcentral describes it as "partial 16S ribosomal RNA". It matches the Rfam family "Bacterial small subunit ribosomal RNA", at positions 505 to 796 of the family's 1533-position model. The record is from RNAcentral.
GUGCCAGCCGCCGCGGUAAUACGGAGGGUGCAAGCGUUAAUCGGAAUUACUGGGCGUAAAGCGUGCGUAGGUGGUUGUUUAAGUCAGAUGUGAAAGCCCCGGGCUCAACCUGGGAAUGGCAUUUGAUACUGGAUAACUGGAGUUUGGGAGAGGCAAGUGGAAUUUCAGGUGUAGCGGUGAAAUGCGUAGAGAUCUGAAGGAACACCAGUGGCGAAGGCGACUUGCUGGCCUAAAACUGACGCUGAGGCACGAAAGCAUGGGUAGCAAACAGGAUUAGAAACCCCCGUAGUCC